RNAcentral lists this ribosomal RNA (1482 nucleotides) under uncultured rumen bacterium. RNAcentral's name for it is "bacterial SSU rRNA". It matches the Rfam family "Bacterial small subunit ribosomal RNA". The record is from RNAcentral.
AGAGUUUGAUCCUGGCUCAGGAUGAACGCUGGCGGCGUGCCUAACACAUGCAAGUCGAGCGAGACUCCGGCAGAAGAGACUUCGGUUAAAUCAGUCGGACGAUAGCGGCGGACGGGUGAGUAACGCGUAGGCAAUCUGCCCCGUACAGGGGGAUAGCCGUUGGAAACGACGAGUAAGACCUCAUGAUGCAGCACUUUCACAUGGGAGAGCUGCCAAAGAUUUAUCGGUAUGGGAUGAGCCUGCGUCUGAUUAGCUGGUUGGUGAGGUAACGGCCCACCAAGGCGACGAUCAGUAGCCGACCUGAGAGGGUGAUCGGCCACAUUGGAACUGAGACACGGUCCAAACUCCUACGGGAGGCAGCAGUGGGGAAUAUUGCACAAUGGAGGGAACUCUGAUGCAGCAACGCCGCGUGAAGGAUGAAGGUUUUCGGAUCGUAAACUUCUGUCCAUGGGGACGAAGAAAGUGACGGUACCCGUGGAGGAAGCCCCGGCUAACUACGUGCCAGCAGCCGCGGUAAUACGUAGGGGGCGAGCGUUAUCCGGAAUUAUUGGGCGUAAAGAGUGCGUAGGUGGCCCACUAAGCGCAGGGUUUAAGGCAAUGGCUUAACUGUUGUUCGCCUUGCGAACUGGAGGGCUUGAGUUCAGGAGAGGAAAGUGGAAUUCCUAGUGUAGCGGUGGAAUGCGUAGAUAUUAGGAGGAACACCGGUGGCGAAGGCGACUUUCUGGACUGAUACUGACACUGAGGCACGAAAGCGUGGGGAGCAAACAGGAUUAGAUACCCUGGUAGUCCACGCCGUAAACGAUGAGCACUANGUGUCGGGGCCGUAAAGGCUUCGGUGCCGCAGUUAACGCAAUAAGUGCUCCGCCUGGGGAGUAUGCACGCAAGUGUUAAACUCAAAGGAAUUGACGGGGACCCGCACAAGCAGCGGAGCAUGUGGUUUAAUUCGAAGCAACGCGAAGAACCUUACCAGGACUUGACAUCCCCCUGACAGGGCUUUAAAAGGCCCCUUCUUCGGACAGGGGAGACAGGUGGUGCAUGAUUGUCGUCAGCUCGUGUCGUGAGAUGUUGGGUUAAGUCCCGCAACGAGCGCAACCCUUGCCUUUAGUUGCCAUCAUCAAGUUGGGCACUCUAGAGGGACUGCCGGGGACAACUCGGAGGAAGGUGGGGAUGACGUCAAAUCAUCAUGCCCCUUAUGUUCUGGGCUACACACGUGCUACAAUGGCCGGUACAGCAGGAAGUGAAGCCGUGAGGCGGAGCGAACCCCAAAAGCCGGUCCCAGUUCGGACUGCAGGCUGCAACCCGCCUGCACGAAGUCGGAGUUGCUAGUAAUCGCGGAUCAGCACGCCGCGGUGAAUGCGUUCCCGGGUCUUGUACACACCGCCCGUCACACCAUGGAAGUUGGUGGUGCCCGAAGUCGGUCAACAAAUCUACUGCCUAAGGCAAAACCAAUGACUGGGGUGAAGUCGUAACAAGGUAACCGUA